RNAcentral lists this ribosomal RNA (267 nucleotides) under Salmonella enterica. RNAcentral describes it as "partial 23S ribosomal RNA". It matches the Rfam family "Bacterial large subunit ribosomal RNA", at positions 311 to 580 of the family's 2925-position model. The record is from RNAcentral. Lineage: Bacteria; Pseudomonadati; Pseudomonadota; Gammaproteobacteria; Enterobacterales; Enterobacteriaceae.
CCUGAAUCAGCAUGUGUGUUAGUGGAAGCGUCUGGAAAGGUGCGCGAUACAGGGUGACAGCCCCGUACACAAAAGCGCAUGUGCUGUGAGCUCGAUGAGUAGGGCGGGACACGUGGUAUCCUGUCUGAAUAUGGGGGGACCAUCCUCCAAGGCUAAAUACUCCUGACUGACCGAUAGUGAACCAGUACCGUGAGGGAAAGGCGAAAAGAACCCCGGCGAGGGGAGUGAAAAAGAACCUGAAACCGUGUACGUACAAGCAGUGGGAGC